RNAcentral lists this small RNA (905 nucleotides) under Pan troglodytes (chimpanzee). Its description in RNAcentral is "processed transcript". Lineage: Eukaryota; Metazoa; Chordata; Mammalia; Primates; Hominidae. The record is from RNAcentral.
AUAAGUAAAACCGAUGCCCUUCCGCCCCUAACCUCAAAAGCUGCUUUUGCGUCUAGAUGUUAUUGAGAGCCGGCUCUGCGGUCAGCUCUGAGCUAGGCGCUGUGAGAACGCUCAGUAAGACAGUGUCUCGUCUGGAAAUGUACAGGCGAGAUUCAAACCGAGAAACUGCCAAAGGUUGUGUGCAGGGCAGAUCCUAGGAUACCGGAGACCCAGCCCGUUGGCUUGACCUCAAAACUCGGGGGCUUUUCGGCCCAUGCUGUCCCUUAAUUCCUCCUCCUUUGCUGACGCUGUGGGUGCGCAUCAAAGCCUAAACUUCACUAGCUCCCUUGCACACAAGAACACUAACCCUAACCUGACCAGUUAUUUAUUUUUCACUUCAAGAUUCUUCCACUGAUACUUAUGUUUCCCUGAUACCGUCCAAGUGCUGAGGGCGGGGAUGGACUGUGUGAUUUGCAUCUACCAAAUGCAGAAAAUUUGGAAGUUCACAGCCUCUUAGUUGGAUGCCCCUGUGUCACAGAACACAUUUUGGCUAUGGGGUGUGAUCUGUGUCUGAGGAACAACAAGAAGCUACACGUCAUCCACACAGGAGCCAAAUCUGGAACUCUGGUCUCAGUUCUUCAGGACUAUUUGAGCGAAUAAUCACUCAACACUGGAGUAAAGGAUGUCCUGCUAGAAGUCUUAUUCUGACUCCUAAAACCACGCUACCGAAAGUGCUGAUCCACAAACCAGUGCCAGUGCUUGAACUUUGUUACUGGUCCACAGUUAGGUCCCCUCAGUGAUUCCUGUGUGCACCCAGGGUUGAGAACUACUGCAUAAGAGGUCCUAGAAGAUAUCUGGUAUGGCCAGAGUACAGAGGGACCGGAGAAGAACUUCUGCUUGGGUGGCUGAACUCUGAUCUUGACCUA